Molecule: long non-coding RNA, 1989 nt
Filed under: Nicotiana tabacum (common tobacco)
Lineage: Eukaryota; Viridiplantae; Streptophyta; Magnoliopsida; Solanales; Solanaceae
Description: long non-coding RNA (NTAB_LNC014779)
Source: RNAcentral
CUCCUCACCCUACCCUAAUAUAUAUGUCCGAACAAGCUCUUACCCCCCAGUUCCAAACAAUUCCAUUCUCACCUUCUCAGAUUUAGAAUCAAACCCUAGCACUGCCCUAACACCCCUUACCCUCUCCGGUGGCAGCGCCAUCCCAAACCGCCUCCAAAACUACACAUCAUAAUCCCCAGCCCCUCCUCUUCUUAAACCCUAAAACAAUUUCCCUCAAUUCCUUCCCCAUCACCUUGAAUUUUAGAUCUCAGAUCCAAGCCCUAAAACCCAAAAUCACCUUACCCCAGAUCUUUAACAUGCAAGGUUUAGGCCUUCAAGUUUCCGAGUUUCGAAGGUUGAUUUAACUGAAUUAGAUACUAGUCGCUGGUUCUUGGCAAAUAACAGGCGGUUAACAUUAGUUUGGGUUUGUUUUCUAGUUUCUUUUUCCUAUUCAUUUGAAUUCGUUUGGUUUAUUUGUUCGCCUUGUUAGUUGUUAUUCAUGUCAGUAGGUCCAUUCUUUCUUCUUUUCCUUUUUUUCGUGUCCGUUUUUCUUAUCUUUAUUUGUUUUUGGUUUGAAUUAGUUAUAGUUCAUUUAAAAUCAGUAGUUCUGAUUAUUCGAAUGCGUGAUUAGGAUUGAUAUUUUAUUAUGAUUUUCUUUUUGAUUUUUCAUUUUGGUCUAAUUUGUUUAGGGUUAGUCGUCAAUUUUGAACUAAUACUUAGCUUGUUAAAGUGUUUGUUGAAACAGAUUUCUUUUUCCUUCGUUCCAGCUCUUUUCUUCUUUCUUUUAUUUCAGUUUACCCUUAGUUCAACCUGGGUUAGAGCUUGAGCUUCAAUGCCCUUUUGGUUGAUUUAAGUAUUAGCUAUGGGCUUUUGGUCAUCUCUGACCCGUUUCAAGAAGCCCUUUCAUUUUUGGUUUGGGUCUUGGCUUAAAUUAUACCCAUGUGAUUUGCUUAGGGUAAAUAACAGAGUUUUAAAGGGUAAUUUGGAUAAAAAGGAUCUGGUGUAACUAACUAGGAAGCUGCUAGAAAAGUGGGUAGUGGGAUUGAUUUGACAAACAUGCUAGAAAUUUGGGGUUUAACUUGAAAAAAUAAAAAAUGGGGAAGGGGUAAUUGGAAAACAAUAGGGUCAUUUCUGCUGCUCUAAAGGCCCUCUAUAAGAGGCCUAUUUCUUUCUUUUCAAGUCAGACUUUAGGGAAGACCAGGCACUGAAAUUGAGAAACGGCUGAAGGAAUACUCUGUAAGGAUACUGAACUUUCUGCAUUCUUUGUUCAAAAUUGGCUUAGGGUCUGCUUUUAAUCUUUUUAACUUGAAACCUUCAAGAAUUUCUGGUUCAUUCUUGGUAAAAAAUGGUUUAGAAGAACCGAGUUUUGCUGUUGUUUGAUUUGCUGAGCUGCAAGCUGCUACUGUUGUUGAUUCUUUCACCUUUCUUUGCUUUGAUUUUCCCAGGUACUUCUUGGAUUUUGUUAAUAUGAGAAGUGUAGUUGGAAGCCCUGUAAUUGACUUAAAUAGUUGUGGAUGAAUGUUAGCUAAAUACUAGUCUAUGUUCUUCAAAGUUUACCUGGUUAUUCCAUAUUGAUUUAGCCUUACUAUUUUGAACUUUAUUGUAUUCAACUAUGCUUAGAUAGUACAUUUUGGACUGUAUUUGAAUUCCCUUUGUCAUGUACUUAAUUAUGACUGUUGUAGCAUGGGUUAUUGUAUGCGAGUAACAUCUUCUUUUGAGAGGUUUGAUUGAAUUGUUUCAAACCAGUAGGGAUAAUUAGCCCACAAUGAGUUUUUCUUAUAAUCAUGCUACACCUAGCAGUAAUUAUACUCGGUGGAAAUUAUUUGGGAAUUGCUUCUUUCAAAGUUUGGUUUUGGAUGAAAGUUCAGCUUUAGUAUUAUAAGUAUGAGGAUGGAUAUGAAUGUUAUAAUGUUGAUUUUGAGUAAAUUUCAGAAGGUGAUAUCUUGGUAUGAUUAAUGGCAUGUGUGUUGGAAUCAUUGUGAGAUUAACUAGUAGUUUUUCAUAAUUUAG